Molecule: long non-coding RNA, 268 nt
Filed under: Mytilus galloprovincialis (Mediterranean mussel)
Lineage: Eukaryota; Metazoa; Mollusca; Bivalvia; Mytilida; Mytilidae
Source: RNAcentral
AACAACGAUUAAGAGUUGUUGACGUACUUUCUAAACUAUGUUAAAAAUUAAACUAGAGUUGUCUCUCUUUGUGUGUUGUUAAUUGUAAUUCACAAAUACCAAAAUUAAAAUACUGUACAGACUUUCUGUAUAUUAUACUCAUUUGUGUAGAGGUUCCAUCCUCUGUAUUUCAUUUACAACUUAUACAAAAACAAUCCUUUGAAUUAAAAAUACAUUUUAUUACACCAACUUGUAUUUACAUUUUCAUGACUAGAAUAUACAUUUUUAC